RNAcentral lists this ribosomal RNA (200 nucleotides) under uncultured bacterium. RNAcentral describes it as "partial 16S ribosomal RNA". It matches the Rfam family "Bacterial small subunit ribosomal RNA", at positions 30 to 228 of the family's 1533-position model. The record is from RNAcentral.
AUUGAACGCUGGCGGCAUGCCUUACACAUGCAAGUCGAACGGCAGCACGGGAGCUUGCUCCUGGUGGCGAGUGGCGAACGGGUGAGUAAUAUAUCGGAACGUAUCCAAUAAUGGGGGAUAACUAAGCGAAAGCUUGGCUAAUACCGCAUACGAUCUAUGGAUGAAAGCGGGGGACCGUAAGGCCUUGCGCGGACGGAGCG